CCUACGGGAGGCAGCAGUGGGGAAUAUUGCGCAAUGGGCGAAAGCCUGACGCAGCGACGCCGCGUGAGGGAUGAAGGUCUUCGGAUCGUAAACCUCUGUCAGCAGGGAAGAACGGUCACUGUGCUAAUCAGCAGUGAAUUGACGGUACCUGAAAAGGAAGCACCGGCUAACUCCGUGCCAGCAGCCGCGGUAAUACGGAGGGUGCGAGCGUUAAUCGGAAUUACUGGGCGUAAAGCGCUCGUAGGCGGUAUGUUAAGUCAAGGGUGAAAUCCCCGCGCUCAACGUGGGAACUGCCUUUGAAACUGGCAGACUGGAGUGUGUGAGAGGAUAGUGGAAUUCCAGGUGUAGGGGUGAAAUCCGUAGAUAUCUGGAGGAACAUCAGUGGCGAAGGCGACUAUCUGGCACAUAACUGACGCUGAGGAGCGAAAGCGUGGGUAGCAAACAGGAUUAGAUACCCUUGUAGUC
RNAcentral lists this ribosomal RNA (465 nucleotides) under uncultured bacterium. RNAcentral describes it as "partial 16S ribosomal RNA". It matches the Rfam family "Bacterial small subunit ribosomal RNA", at positions 338 to 795 of the family's 1533-position model. The record is from RNAcentral.